AGGACGAACGCUGGCGGCGUGCCUAACACAUGCAAGUCGAACGGGGUCCAACCGGUGGCAACACUGGUGAAGACCUAGUGGCGAACGGGUGAGUAUCACGUGAGCAACCUGCCCCGAAGACUGGGAUAACACCGGGAAACCGGUGCUAAUACCGGAUACCCCCACCGGAUCGCAUGGUCUGGUGAGGAAAUGAAUUUUGCUUUGGGAGGGACUCGCGGCCUAUCAGCUUGUUGGUGGUGUAACGGACCACCAAGGCUUCGACGGGUAGCUGGUCUGAGAGGACGAUCAGCCACACUGGGACUGAGACACGGCCCAGACUCCUACGGGAGGCAGCAGUGGGGAAUCUUGCGCAAUGGGCGAAAGCCUGACGCAGCAACGCCGCGUGAGGGACGAAGGCCUUCUGGGUUGUAAACCUCUUUCAGCAGGGACGAUGAUGACGGUACCUGCAGAAGAAGCCCGGCAACUACGUGCCAGCAGCCGCGU
This 483-nucleotide ribosomal RNA is filed under the name uncultured bacterium. RNAcentral describes it as "SSU rRNA". It matches the Rfam family "Bacterial small subunit ribosomal RNA", at positions 26 to 520 of the family's 1533-position model. The record is from RNAcentral.